UAAUACAGAGGGUGCGAGCGUUAAUCGGAAUUACUGGGCGUAAAGGGCGCGUAGGUGGUUUAUUAAGAUUGAUGUGAAAUCCCUGGGCUUAACCUAGGAACGGCAUCGAAGACUGAUAGACUUGAGUACUGUAGAGGGUAGUGGAAUUUCCGGUGUAGCGGUGAAAUGCGUAGAGAUCGGAAGGAACACCAGUGGCGAAGGCGGCUACCUGGACAGAGACUGACACUGAGGCGCGAGAGCGUGGGGAGCAAACAGGAUUAGAUACCCUGGUAGUCCACGCUGUAAACGAUGAAGACUAGAUGUUGGACAGCGAGACUGUUUAGUAUCGAAGCAAACGCGAUAAGUCUUCCGCCUGGGGAGUACGGCCGCAAGGUUA
This 376-nucleotide ribosomal RNA is filed under the name uncultured bacterium. Its description in RNAcentral is "bacterial SSU rRNA". It matches the Rfam family "Bacterial small subunit ribosomal RNA", at positions 521 to 896 of the family's 1533-position model. The record is from RNAcentral.